AUUACCUCAGUAACGGCGAGUGAAGCGGUAACAGCUCAAAUUUGAAAUCUGGCUCUUUCAGGGUCCGAGUUGUAAUUUGUAGAAGAUGCUUUGGGUGUGGCUCUAGUCUAAGUUCCUUGGAACAGGACGUCAUAGAGGGUGAGAAUCCCGUAUGUGAUUAGGCGCCUUCGCCCGUGUAAAGCUCUUUCGACGAGUCGAGUUGUUUGGGAAUGCAGCUCAAAAUGGGUGGUAAAUUUCAUCUAAAGCUAAAUAUUGGCCAGAGACCGAUAGCGCACAAGUAGAGUGAUCGAAAGAUGAAAAGCACUUUGGAAAGAGAGUUAAACAGUACGUGAAAUUGUUGAAAGGGAAGCGCUUGCAACCAGACUCGCAUGCCGUCGAUCAUCCUGUGUUCUCACUGGUGCACUCGGCGGCCUUCGGGCCAGCAUCGGUUUGGGUGGUGGGAUAAAGGCCUUGGGAAUGUAGCUCCUCUCGGGGAGUGUUAUAGCCCUCGGUGCAAUGCCGCCUACCUGGACCGAGGACCGCGCUUCGGCUAGGAUGC
This 538-nucleotide ribosomal RNA is filed under the name Lachnum sp. FC-2079. RNAcentral's name for it is "eukaryotic LSU rRNA". It matches the Rfam family "Eukaryotic large subunit ribosomal RNA", at positions 74 to 626 of the family's 3401-position model. The record is from RNAcentral. Lineage: Eukaryota; Fungi; Ascomycota; Leotiomycetes; Helotiales; Lachnaceae.